UGAGCUUUCAUCAAAGAUAUAUUGCAAUAACUUACCUAAAGCUAUCAAAUACUUGACACUAAAAUUGCAUAUUUGAAAGCACAGGGGCGUUAAAGGAAAAGUCUGACCAUCUCUACACUGAACCCAGAAGGACAACGACAUGCAGUAUAAAAACCACAGCUGAUCCAGAAAGCCCCAGAGUCUCCUGCUGUCUGGUGUCAGGUAC
Molecule: long non-coding RNA, 205 nt
Organism: Sander lucioperca (pikeperch)
Lineage: Eukaryota; Metazoa; Chordata; Actinopteri; Perciformes; Percidae
Exons: 3
Source: RefSeq, a predicted model, not a curated record